RNAcentral lists this ribosomal RNA (582 nucleotides) under uncultured Alcaligenaceae bacterium. RNAcentral's name for it is "bacterial SSU rRNA". It matches the Rfam family "Bacterial small subunit ribosomal RNA", at positions 102 to 680 of the family's 1533-position model. Lineage: Bacteria; Pseudomonadati; Pseudomonadota; Betaproteobacteria; Burkholderiales; Alcaligenaceae. The record is from RNAcentral.
ACGGGUGAGUAAUGUAUCGGAACGUGCCCAGUAGCGGGGGAUAACUACGCGAAAGCGUAGCUAAUACCGCAUACGCCCUUAGGGGGAAAGCAGGGGAUCGCAAGACCUUGCACUAUUGGAGCGGCCGAUAUCGGAUUAGCUAGUUGGUGAGGUAAUGGCUCACCAAGGCCGCAAUCCGUAGCUGGUUUGAGAGGACGACCAGCCACACUGGGACUGAGACACGGCCCAGACUCCUACGGGAGGCAGCAGUGGGGAAUUUUGGACAAUGGGGGAAACCCUGAUCCAGCCAUCCCGCGUGUGCGAUGAAGGCCUUCGGGUUGUAAAGCACUUUUGGCAGGAAAGAAACGGCGCGUGCUAAUACCAUGCGCAACUGACGGUACCUGCAGAAUAAGCACCGGCUAACUACGUGCCAGCAGCCGCGGUAAUACGUAGGGUGCAAGCGUUAAUCGGAAUUACUGGGCGUAAAGCGUGCGCAGGCGGUUCGGAAAGAAAGAUGUGAAAUCCCAGGGCUCAACCUUGGAACUGCAUUUUUAACUACCGGACUAGAGUAUGUCAGAGGGAGGUGGAAUUCCACGUGUAGCA